This 228-nucleotide ribosomal RNA is filed under the name Anoplocnemis sp. 2 CDM-2021a. RNAcentral describes it as "partial large subunit ribosomal RNA". It matches the Rfam family "Eukaryotic large subunit ribosomal RNA", at positions 1263 to 1459 of the family's 3401-position model. Lineage: Eukaryota; Metazoa; Arthropoda; Insecta; Hemiptera; Coreidae. The record is from RNAcentral.
GGAAUCCGCUAAGGAGUGUGUAACAACUCACCUGCCGAAGCAACUAGCCCUGAAAAUGGAUGGCGCUGUAGCGUCGUGCCUAUACUCUGCCGUCAACGGCAAAGCGGGCGGUCCCUUCACGGGGCUUCGCCGUUAAGCCUUGACGAGUAGGAGGGUCGCGGCGGUGCGCGCGGAAGGGUCUGGGCGUGAGCCCGCCGGGAGCCGCCGCCGGUGCAGAUCUUGGUGGUA